Molecule: long non-coding RNA, 203 nt
Filed under: Lathyrus oleraceus (garden pea)
Lineage: Eukaryota; Viridiplantae; Streptophyta; Magnoliopsida; Fabales; Fabaceae
Description: Pisum sativum (pea) long non-coding RNA (PSAT_LNC032026)
Source: RNAcentral
AAGGGAUUAUUCUUCUGGAAGACUCCGCUGGGGAUAAAGUCCGCUGGGGAUAGGUGGUAUCUUUCCAGGGAAUAAGAAUAUAGGGGAAAUCUAUCCUUGAUUUUUUUGCUUUAAUUAUCAUGGAGACUUUCUGUAUCUGAAGACUCUGCAGGGGAUUAUGGUGUCCGAUAUCUGGUUACGAGAUCUUUCCUCUAGGAGACUCU